Molecule: long non-coding RNA, 773 nt
Filed under: Piliocolobus tephrosceles (Ugandan red Colobus)
Lineage: Eukaryota; Metazoa; Chordata; Mammalia; Primates; Cercopithecidae
Description: lncRNA (ENSPTEG00000009708.1)
Source: RNAcentral
UUUUUUUUUUUUUUUUUACAAAAAGGUGUACGACGAAGGAUUAUAUUAAUUUUUUUUCGCGAUUAAUUUUUUGUACAUUCAUGCUUAUAUAUAUAGUAAGUUGUUAAAUGUGUUUAUAUAAAUAUAAUUUUUUUUUAAAUUUGCAUUUUUUUUUUUUACAAUUUUACAAAACUGGAACAUUUAAAUAUUCGAAAUAUUCCAUUUAUUUAUGUACGUAUGUUUUUAUUCAUAAUAACAUGAACGUUAUUAAUACUUUCUUCACAUGGAUAAACAAUAACAUUUUUAACAACUUUUCAUAAAUUUUAUAAUUUUGUCAUACAAUGAAUGAAAGUUCUAAUAAUGGAAGUGCUGAAACAUGUUUUCAUCUUAAUAAACCACAUAAAAAAAAAAAAGAAAAAAAGAAAUGGAAAAAAAUAUUAUAUGAAGACCAAGGUUACAAAGACAACUAUGUUCAUAACAGCUUUCUAAACUCACUUUUAACGAAUUUUGGGGUGAAAUAUAAUUAUUUUCACGUUUGUCAUAGCAUGCUAUGUGUGAAUCAUCAAAUAAUAGUUGUUUUAUUCCUAGUACUAUCCUAUUAUUGCAUAGAUAAUAAUAUUACAUCAGAUAAAUUUAUAUACACAGUCAAUAUAACCAUUAUAAUUUUGAAAGAAAUACUAAUUUACUCUGAGCAUCAUUCAUUUAAUAGUAAUUAAAAAAAAAGAAACUAAAAGAACAAAAAAAAAAAAAAAUGAAUUGACGUAAAACUAAAAUAAAACGAAUAAUAAAAAACA